Harmonia axyridis is the source of this 2938-nucleotide long non-coding RNA. RefSeq lists it as uncharacterized. The record is from RefSeq and is a predicted model, not a curated record. NCBI's taxonomy places the organism in Eukaryota, Metazoa, Arthropoda, Insecta, Coleoptera, Coccinellidae. The transcript has 6 exons.
GGGAUAGGUAUUAUGGAUAAAGUGGAAGUGGGAGAGCAUAUAGCAUAUUAGCAGAUGAAACAGCAGACAUUUGACUUUUGAGGAUAAGAACAAGAAGAAACUAUUGGAAUUAUAUUCUAAUUAUAUUUCGAUGCAAAGUGUUACAGAGUACAAGAAGAUUUUGUUGGUUUUGUCGAAUCAGGACUAAGCUUCGUUUUCCUAUUGUGGGUCACAUAAACUGACCCUGGUUAUUAACGAUCUCAAUGCUCUAUCUGAUAUCCGGAUCAAACAAAAAUUUUUCAAAUGAUCAAAAGUCACCGUGAUGAUGCAGAAAAAGUAGCUGAGGAAUUAAUGACAGAUGCCUUUACAAACGCCGAAAAGCCCGGACUGUCGAAGGACAAAUUCAACCAACCAACCAGCCACUAGCCCAUUUGAGUACUGAAGAAGGUCUAUAAUUAUUCCUUACUUGGAUUCCAUCAUCAGAAGAUUUCCUGAAGAAAACACGCCAGACAUUAAGCAUACUACACCCUGCUCAAAUGAAGACAAUUCAUUCCAUUUCCAAUGUUUGGGACACUUUUUCCAAGUUUUAUUAUUUAAACAUCAGAAAUGAACUCGAAUUGUGGCGAAGGAUAUGGCAAGACAAACCUGAACUAAAUUUCAAGGCGCUGACCGUAAUUUUUUUUAAGAAACACGGGGCCUUUUUCCUGAGACGGAAAAAGCUUUGGAAAUUUCGAUCACUAUACUUGCACUGUAUUCAGUAGGAACAUAGGAAGUCGAAGAGGUAUCCGGGGUAAUCAUAGAAUUUUCAUGCAGGUAACCUACAAACUUCCGGUGUUUCAUGGUUAUUGGUUAACGACGGAAUGGCUUUGGGAAUUUGAUUAUGAAUUGCAAUUAUAGAUUCAAUAAAACACAGAACAAGGUUCAACUUAUUUAUUGUGCACAGCUUACUCAGUUGAGAUUCAACAAGUAAUUAAUUAAUGCUUAAGUUUCAAGUGGUUGGCUUGGCUUCAUUAGUCGAAUCCGAAUGUAAACAUUACAUAUCAACUCUAUGCUCCGUAGGAUGAUAAUUGGCCUCAAUACAUAGAGCCACUUGACCAGUUCAUUUAUUGAUCCAACAGAUUGCUCUGGAUACCUCCUCGCCUUUCUAUGAUCCUGAUGUAACAUUUGGCUUUUAGGUUGUGAGUAAAAGGUUGCUUGGAAUAUAGAAAAGGAAAGUAAACAUAUGGGCACGAUUCCUAAUACAAGAGAGAUGAAAGCUUAGUGCGGCCAAUCACAAUUGAGCUAGCCGAAUUGAAAACGUUGCCGGCUCUAUUUUCAAUACGAAGGAAUGAACUGAGGAGAAGAUUAAUAUUUUUCCGACCAUUCAGAUAAAUUGUCGAUGUGGCAACGUUCAUUCGGGUUAUCUGUCAUUUGGUUCUGGCUUGUACACCACCUCAGUUGGCUAAAUCUUAAUUAUUCCUUGAUUUAAUUGUUUUGUAUUUUCAUUUGUUACCAUUAUCAGUGAUAUUAGACAUGCCUAACAAGUGUUUUUGUGUGGUUUUACUUAUAUUGUGGGAGGUUAGUGGUUAGACUUCAUAGACUUCGAUCGAAUCAACUCGUACGAGAAAAAUGGUUGCGAGAAUUUCUUGGAACCGACCAUUCUUGGAAAAUAAAAUAUAUUAUCUUUGCUCGAAUCACUUUCCUGAAGAUUGCUUCCGAAUAAUGAACCUAAGACAGAGGCUUAUUCGGCUUAUUCCCCUUCUUCUUUUGCAAUCAAAUUGGAAAUACCUCUUACCUACUCAGAAGGGAAGUAUUGAAGAACAGGACUCAACUGAAUCUGAGUCUAAAACCCAAUCAUCAUAAAAGAAAACAUGAGAUUUGACCCUUCAACUACUUUAAGGUGUCCUUCAAAAUGUGCAUCCUCUACCUCUUGUCGACUUGUUUGGUAGUGACAUUUAGAACCUAAGAAAGAGGCUCAUCCAAGGAGGACUUAAUCAGAAGGGAAUAGAGGUAUUGAAGAAUCUCUUUCUGAUUAUAAAAUACAAUCUCCAUCAAUAAAUGAUUCAGAAGAAACACUGACUUUAUCCUCUCCUUCAAAAUCUGCAUCAUUUAACUCUAGUGCCACUUCUUUCUCUGGGGAACUAUGAAUAUCUAAAAUAAAGUAGAGAUAGUUUUUCUCAAAUCCCCACUAUAUUGGAGAUUAUUCACAUCGUCAUUUGGAAAACCCAAGGCAGCAAAAGAAAUUCUUCAGGUUAUCUCGAAGAAUCCUGUCCAAAUUCAAGAUCAAAAAUAAAAUAUAAGUAAAUCAAGUGAAACACCUUAAAUUAUCCAUAUCAAAUUUACAAGAUCUGAUGAAAACUAUUCAUCACAAUUUUUCGGUGAAGAAGAUAUGAAGAAUGCAUUAAACUUGACUAUUUCUGGACCAACAAAGCUUCAACUUCCGCUAACGUGAUAAGCUGAAGUUGAACAGCACCGACCCAAAACUACAGUUAAAAAAACAUUGGGGUGUCGUACCAAUGCCUCUCACUUUGUAGUUGAUGAGGCUGAAAAAAUAUUCAGGUGGACAGAAAGGGUUUUUAAUAUUUUCGAUGAAAAUUAUUCGAACUUCUUACUCCGUCUAGCUCUCACUACAUUGAAUAGUGUUGAUCCAAAGUUGUUCAAUGUUUCAAUCAGCAUCUGUUUGAUGAUGAACCAGAGAGAAUCCAUGACCCUGCUGUAACGGAAAUGAUUCUUGAAACCUAUUUCAAUUCGAGGAUUCGCCACGAAUUGAGAAAUCGACAAAGUGUGAAAUUAGAUUGGAAUCAGUUGAGAAGUAGAUUGACGAAAACUAUAAUAUUUGUACACCAAUAGAUUUUUCUAAUGAAUAUAUUAAUACACAUUAAAUUCAAAUGGGUUGAUUAUUGUAAACCAAUAUAUUUCUGCUUAGAACAUUAAUAAUUUAAAUUCUUUAUUUCGGUAAUAAAUAUAUUCUGUUAUUUUA